UCCUGUGGCCUCUCUCUCUGUAUGUACUGGUUUCUUUGUGACCUUCUCCCCCAGGACCUCGAAUGGGAUGCUGGACAUUCCUCCUGAGAAACCUGAGGAGGAUAUUAAAAACACAGCCACAGUUUUCCUACUGCUUGCUGCCAGGCUUCUUAGGGGCCCAGCUGCUGGGGGCUAAUGGCUGAGCAUGGUGGCUCAUGCAUGUAAUCCCAGCACUUUGGGAGGCUGAGGUGGACGGAUCACAAGUCAAGAGAUCGAGACCAUCCUGGCCAACAUGGUGAAACCCCGUCUCUACUAAAAAUACCAAAAUUAGCUGGGUGUGGUGGCACGUGCCUGUAGUCCCAGCUACUUGGGAGGCUGAGGCAGGUGAACCGCUUGAGCCCGGGAGGCGGAGGUUGCAGUGAGCUGAGAUUGUGCCACUGCACUCCAGCCUGGUGACAGUGAGACUCUGUCUCAAGAAAAAAAAGAAAGACAGAAAGAGCUUAUGUGUGCCAAGAAAUAUGGGCACGGCCACAAGGCAUUCUGGGACCUCAGGAACAAAGGCUGAUGGGAGAGGACCACUGUGGAGUUUCUAAGGGGGCCAAUAAAGAGCACUCCUUUUCUCCAUUCAAUUUUUGAGCCAAUUGAGAAAUAAAGCCAAGCAGUCAGCAGAUGGAGGCCAACAUACCUGCUACCUGCAGGUAGCUCCUUAUUGAUCAAUGCUACUUGGGAAAGCAUAGCUUCUAUCUUCAAGCAAGUGCAGUUCUUAUCAACUAAACUUUGGGAUUUGACCAACUUGCCCAUCAGCCUCAGGCAACACCAGAACAAGGCAGGCUUUGCCUCUGGAGAAAGAUGCCCCUCCUGCGGGUAGCUCCUAAGAAAAGGAAAAAAGCUAAGCUAUAUAUGACACAGUUUUUCUUCCAAAUUCACCAACCGGGGUUUGUAAGGCACAAAAUGAGGAGGCCACUAUGCCUUCCCUCAAGAGGUUCACAUUGGCAAGUACCAGAGAGCAAAAGACAAUGUUCUAUUAGAUUCUUUCUACUGAUGCCGGAGAAUCCAAUCUGCAAGACAGAAGACCUUAGAAAUGUCCAGCAAAGCAUAUGGAGAAUCCUUGAGCCAAAGUCACCCAUCCAAGGAGCUCAUGUCUCUCUGCCAUGCAUAGUCACUGGCUGGAAUCAGUCUGUGAGAAGCAUGGCUGUGGUGCAGUAAAUGUGAGCAUGGAUUUCAGACUGCAGUAGCAAGACUGUUGUCAACCCCAGUCCUUGCAGUGCAGAAGUGAGAGGUGCAUUGUCAUGGCUGCCACAGCCCUAUAUCCUCAUGACUUUUCUUACCUGGAGAAAUGGUAAAAAACAGGGAAAUGGUCUCCACUUCCCACAUUCAGAUCUGGCAUGAGUGCAUUUAAUUUGCAUGGCAAACUCUAGCCACAAGUAAGCCAAGAAAUUGUAAUUCCCCUUUCCAGCUCCCACUAACACCCGCCCUCUGCCCCCUGCCCCGCCCCCCAACACACACACGAUGGGAAGGCACACGAGAAGCGGAAAUGAAUACUAGAAAAAACACCACUUUGGGGUAAAGUGGCACGCCUGAGAUUCCAGCACGAGGAAGUCUAGAUGACAACCCAGCCUUCAGAUUCCCAGUAUGUCUCACAUGGAAAAAGCAAAACUAAAAUCCACCACUUUGAAUGGCAAAAAGCGACCAUGAGUAGAGAGUCCCGUAUCACAGCAAGACCUUCACCUCUGUGAAACUCAGUUUCUAGGUUUGUAAAAUGGGCUUGUCAUGGGAUAUUGUUGUAAGAAUUCAACAAAAUUGUGGAUAUAGAAGGGCUUUUGGGGUUGUACAUACCUAAGGGAUUUCAGUGUCAGUGGAGGGCAUGGCUAGCUUUUUCUCAUCCUCUUCUUCUACAAGAUGGAUGUCUGGCCUGUCUCUGGCAGGUCGUCUUGGGGGAUUGGGUCUUCCUCCAGGUGGGUCAUUACCUGUGGGUGUCUGUUGCUGGAGACAUAGCUGGUUCCAGUGAGGAUCCAGCUGCCCUUCUCCAUGUGGCUGAGAUACCACAGUACAGCAAAGGCAUAUUAGAUCCCACUGAAAAUUCAAGCAGGUCUUUA
Molecule: long non-coding RNA, 2075 nt
Filed under: Homo sapiens (human)
Lineage: Eukaryota; Metazoa; Chordata; Mammalia; Primates; Hominidae
Description: HSALNT0153609
Source: RNAcentral